RNAcentral lists this ribosomal RNA (554 nucleotides) under uncultured bacterium. RNAcentral describes it as "partial 16S ribosomal RNA". It matches the Rfam family "Bacterial small subunit ribosomal RNA", at positions 356 to 900 of the family's 1533-position model. The record is from RNAcentral.
AGGGAAUCUUCGGCAAUGGGGGCAACCCUGACCGAGCAACGCCGCGUGAGUGAAGAAGGUUUUCGGAUCGUAAAGCUCUGUUGUAAGUCAAGAACGGGUGUGAGAGUGGAAAGUUCACACUGUGACGGUAGCUUACCAGAAAGGGACGGCUAACUACGUGCCAGCAGCCGCGGUAAUACGUAGGUCCCGAGCGUUGUCCGGAUUUAUUGGGCGUAAAGCGAGCGCAGGCGGUUUGAUAAGUCUGAAGUUAAAGGCUGUGGCUCAACCAUAGUUCGCUUUGGAAACUGUCAAACUUGAGUGCAGAAGGGGAGAGUGGAAUUCCAUGUGUAGCGGUGAAAUGCGUAGAUAUAUGGAGGAACACCGGUGGCGAAAGCGGCUCUCUGGUCUGUAACUGACGCUGAGGCUCGAAAGCGUGGGGAGCGAACAGGAUUAGAUACCCUGGUAGUCCACGCCGUAAACGAUGAGUGCUAGGUGUUGGAUCCUUUCCGGGAUUCAGUGCCGAAGCUAACGCAUUAAGCACUCCGCCUGGGGGAGUACGACCGCAAGGUUGAAAC